Oncorhynchus tshawytscha (Chinook salmon) is the source of this 632-nucleotide long non-coding RNA. The record is from Ensembl. NCBI's taxonomy places the organism in Eukaryota, Metazoa, Chordata, Actinopteri, Salmoniformes, Salmonidae.
GUACAGAGUCAAUGUGGAGGCUAUAUACAGGGUAUUACGGUACAGAGUCAAUGUGGAGGCUAUAUACAGGGGGUACCGGUACAGAGUAAAUGUGGAGGCUAUAUACAGGGUGUUACGGUACAGAGUCAAUGUGGAGGCUAUAUACAGGGUAUUAUGGUACAGAGUCAAUGUGGAGGUUAUAUACAGGGUAUUAAGGUACAGAGUCAAUGUGGAGGCUAUAUACAGGGUAUUACGGUACAGAGUCAAUGUGGAGGCUAUAUACAGGGUAUUACGGUACAGAGUCAAUGUGGAGGCUAUAUACAGGGUAUUAAGGUACAGAGUCAAUGUGGAGGCUAUAUACAGGGUAUUAAGGUACAGAGUCAAUGUGGAGGCUAUAUACAGGGUAUUAAGGUACAGAGUCAAUGUGGAGGCUAUAUACAGGGUAUUACGGUACAGAGUCAAUGUGGAGGCUAUAUACAGGGGGUACCGGUACAGAGUCAAUGUGGAGGCUAUAUACAGGGGGUACCGGUACAGAGUCAAUGUGGAGGCUAUAUACAGGGGGUACCGAUACAGAGUCAAUGUGGAGGCUAUAUACAGGGUAUUACGGUACAGAGUCAAUGUGGAGGCUAUAUACAGGGUAUUACGGUACAGAG